This 60-nucleotide transfer RNA is filed under the name Methanobacteriota archaeon. RNAcentral's name for it is "Euryarchaeota archaeon tRNA-Arg". It matches the Rfam family "tRNA", at positions 8 to 63 of the family's 71-position model. Rfam says of the family: Transfer RNA (tRNA) molecules are approximately 80 nucleotides in length. Their secondary structure includes four short double-helical elements and three loops (D, anti-codon, and T loops). The record is from RNAcentral. Lineage: Archaea; Methanobacteriati; Methanobacteriota.
UAGCAUAGCCUGGAUAAUGCACCGGCCUCCUAAGCCGGGGACCGCGGGUUCGAAUCCUGC